This 253-nucleotide non-coding RNA is filed under the name uncultured bacterium. RNAcentral's name for it is "partial 16S ribosomal RNA". It matches the Rfam family "Bacterial small subunit ribosomal RNA", at positions 524 to 776 of the family's 1533-position model. The record is from RNAcentral. RNAcentral also lists the same sequence under 1 other name.
UACGAAGGGGGCUAGCGUUGCUCGGAAUCACUGGGCGUAAAGCGCGCGUAGGCGGAUCUUUAAGUCAGGGGUGAAAUCCCGGGGCUCAACCCCGGAACUGCCUUUGAUACUGGGGAUCUUGAGUUCGAGAGAGGUUGGUGGAACUGCGAGUGUAGAGGUGAAAUUCGUAGAUAUUCGCAAGAACACCAGUGGCGAAGGCGGCCAACUGGCUCGACACUGACGCUGAGGCGCGAAAGCGUGGGGAGCAAACAGG